Aethalodelphis obliquidens (Pacific white-sided dolphin) is the source of this 263-nucleotide long non-coding RNA. RefSeq lists it as uncharacterized. Lineage: Eukaryota; Metazoa; Chordata; Mammalia; Artiodactyla; Delphinidae. The transcript is spliced from 3 exons. The record is from RefSeq and is a predicted model, not a curated record.
UGUUUUUGCUUUUCCCCUUUGAAGUAUUAGGCUUUAAAAGAUCUGCUGCUCUUCCAGCAUUCCUGUGUAUGAACAUACUUCAAUUAUUUAUACAAUCUACAGUUGAUGGACAUUUGCAUGGUUCCCACUUCGAAUCUAUUAUGAAAAAAAGCUGCUAUGGACAUUCCCGUCGAUGGCUUUUUGUGGUGGACAGACACAAGGCUCAUUUCUCCCAGUACGCGGGUCCCUCACUGCCGCGGCCUCUCCCGCCGCAGAGCACAGGC